Molecule: transfer RNA, 76 nt
Filed under: Chloroflexi bacterium RBG_13_51_36
Lineage: Bacteria; Bacillati; Chloroflexota
Also listed under: 5 other names
Description: tRNA-Ala
Rfam family: tRNA
About the family: Transfer RNA (tRNA) molecules are approximately 80 nucleotides in length. Their secondary structure includes four short double-helical elements and three loops (D, anti-codon, and T loops). Further hydrogen bonds mediate the characteristic L-shaped molecular structure. tRNAs have two regions of fundamental functional importance: the anti-codon, which is responsible for specific mRNA codon recognition, and the 3' end, to which the tRNAs corresponding amino acid is attached (by aminoacyl-tRNA synthetases). tRNAs cope with the degeneracy of the genetic code in two manners: having more than one tRNA (with a specific anti-codon) for a particular amino acid; and 'wobble' base-pairing, i.e. permitting non-standard base-pairing at the 3rd anti-codon position.
Source: RNAcentral
GGGGCUGUAGCUCAAUCGGGAGAGCGUCUGACUGGCAGUCAGAAGGUAGUGGGUUCGAAUCCCAUCAGCUCCACCA